UGGGUAGUUAGCUCAGUGGUAGAGCAUUUGCCUUACAAGCAAAUGGUCACUGGUUCAAAUCCAGUACUACCCAA
RNAcentral lists this transfer RNA (74 nucleotides) under Thorea hispida. RNAcentral's name for it is "tRNA-Val". It matches the Rfam family "tRNA". From Rfam's summary of the family: Transfer RNA (tRNA) molecules are approximately 80 nucleotides in length. Their secondary structure includes four short double-helical elements and three loops (D, anti-codon, and T loops). Further hydrogen bonds mediate the characteristic L-shaped molecular structure. tRNAs have two regions of fundamental functional importance: the anti-codon, which is responsible for specific mRNA codon recognition, and the 3' end, to which the tRNAs corresponding amino acid is attached (by aminoacyl-tRNA synthetases). tRNAs cope with the degeneracy of the genetic code in two manners: having more than one tRNA (with a specific anti-codon) for a particular amino acid; and 'wobble' base-pairing, i.e. permitting non-standard base-pairing at the 3rd anti-codon position. Lineage: Eukaryota; Rhodophyta; Florideophyceae; Thoreales; Thoreaceae. The record is from RNAcentral.